Molecule: long non-coding RNA, 3799 nt
Organism: Marmota monax (woodchuck)
Lineage: Eukaryota; Metazoa; Chordata; Mammalia; Rodentia; Sciuridae
Exons: 3
Source: RefSeq, a predicted model, not a curated record
UCCAAACAAAUUAGUUUUGACUGAUUACUAUGUUGUUUCCUACUCUGAAGAUGCAGAUUAAUAUCACUCAAAAGUAUUUCUUCAUUGUUGAUUACCAAAAGGUUAAUAUUAACUAAUAGAAAAAUCUCAAUUUCGAAUAAGAAGGCAAUGGAUUUUAUAACUGGCAUUGCAGCAUUUAUUAUAGUUUAUUUCAGAUUUCCAGUGGUAAAAGUAAAAAGUAUAAUAUCUAGUUUUUAAAAACUGAAUCUGAAUAUUAAAUUUAUAAAUUUUACAUAAAAGUGAGAGAGCACCAUAAUAGAGGGGUGCCCUUUUGUUGUUUCCCAAUACUGUGAUAGGUUUGCACCCCUUUGCCAGUUUCUCAUUUUGACCAGAGGGCAGACACCUGGCAGGGAUUUGGGGUAAGGUCUGGGAGCAGAGAAUAGAGCUUUUUGUUCUCUAAAUUUAAGUGGCCUCUAUAGGGAUCAAACUCUCACCCUUUGCUUUGGGAACCACAAGAUCUAAUCAAAUGAACUAUUAAAGAGCUAAAUAAACAUAGCCAGCAAGGAACAGAAGAUGUUUCCAGGCCACAGGAGAUUUCUUCUUCCUACUCCUUUUUUAGGAAGCUAAGGAUUCCUAAGAGAUUUAAUCCAUUACGUUUUUCCCCAAGAGAAUGCAGCGGCUCAUAUCAAAUAUUCAUUUUUUAGGUCAUCACCAUUUUUGCACACUGUACACCAAUUUACUGCCUCAGUGCACUAAAAUGCAACUCAGUAGCCUGAAAAGUUAAUGCAUUUUCAUCAAAUUCUUAAGAGGCAUCUACAUCUCUUGAGAAAAAAUGGCCUUACAUAAUGCAUUGGAUUUGCCCAUCAUUAAAGAUUAAGGAAAACCAGACACAAACCAGAUGCCCUGAAGAUUUCAGAUCCUCUUUGUUAUGGGACAGUAUUAGAUGAAACUUGUUAAGUUUUGUUUGGAAAAUUCAUUUUUCAAUGUAUAAAUCUUUGUAAUGUUAUGAACAUGUGCUUCUGGAUACUUUCCAGAAAAAUAAACCUCUUUAAAAACAAAACAAAACACAUGUUUAGAAUUAUCUAGCAGUUGAUACUCAUGCACUAGAGUCAGACCUGAGUUCAAGUCUCAGUUUAACCACUUCUAACUAUGUGAUAAUGAUUGAGAUAGUACUUAACUUCUCUUACCUUUAUUUUCCUCAAAGGGGCUUGGGGAGAAGUAAUUUAAUAAUGCAUGCAAAUUGCUAAAUAUAGCGCCUAUAAUACAGUAAGCAAUCAAUAACGGGUAUUUGUGUGCUUAAUGUUUGUUUGGUGCUGUGGGGUUUGAGAAUAUGCUUAAAAUUACUCUCCACAUGAACUGAACUGCUUCAGGUCAUAGCUGCCAAUUGUCAGUUUACAUGUGAAACUUCCCAAGCAAGUAAAAUUUUCUAAGGCAGCCAUUUAGUAGAAGACAUGUUUUAGCUCAUUAUUCUUAUUACCUGGAAUAAAGUAAACAAAGGUUGUCAUUUUCACAUAGUUAAUUCUCAUUACUCAUGAAAUACAUAUUUUGAAAUUUGCCUACUUGCUAAAAUUUCAAAAAAUCAAUACUCCUCGUGCUUUUAUAGUCAUUCAUUGAGCAGCAAAAUAAAGGAGGCUUCGGACACACAGGUUCCCAGCUGAGGCCAGACAGGGCAGUGCUCUGCCUUAUUAUUUCAGCCCUCACACUAUGUACAAGUACCCAUUUUCCUGUCUAUUUAGUUCCACAUUUUUUUCCCAUUUUUGUGCUUUUUACUGUUGUUGCUGAUUCUGCUGUUUUCAAACAUAGUGCUGUGCAGUGUUCUUAAGCACAGGAAGGCUGCAGUGGAAAGUAGAAUGGUGAUUGCCAGGGUUUGGGUGGGGCAGUUAAUGUUUAAUAGAGACUUUCAGUUUGAAAAGAUUUUAAAAAGUUCUGGGGGUAGAUGAAUGGUGGUAUGGGUGCACAGCAAUGAAUAUACUUAAUACUACUGAACUGUUAACUUAAAAAUAGCUAAAAUGGUGAGAUCUAUGUCAUGUAUAUUUUACCACAAAAUUUUAAAUGCCAGGAUAUGUCAUAAGAAAAUUUUUCCUUAUGAAAAAAUAUAUGUGUUAGAAAAGCUUUGUUCAGGAAUGAAGGUAGUGCUUUUGACUGUGAGUUUAAUGUUAAUGAAUAACACUAUAUAUUAAUUGGUUGAUGAAAAAAUUGUGACCAGAGGCUCUCCUAACCCUGUAUUUUCUCUAGGAAUUGAGUAUUUGCUGAUUCACAAUUGAUGAUGAAUUUCCAGAAUAUAACUACCAUGAAUAGUAGAAUUGUUUGCAUCUAAUCAGCUUCUCUGAAGGACAGUAUGAAUGGAUUAAGAAGUACUCAAGCAAUUUCAAGAACUGUUUCUUCUCCAAUGGCAAUAACUGCAGCUCCCCAGCACAGAAUGCUGGGAGCUACUGUCACAAAGGAGACCAGACAGGGCAACAAUAGGACAGACCCAGAUCUUCCAGACCUUCCUUCAAAUCCUAGAAGACCUCAAAGAAAAAAGGAGAAAGAAAAAACUGAAAAAUAUGCAUGAUAAAGUCCUAAUUUCUACACAAUUUAUGAGUUGUGUGACCUAAAACAAGACAUUUAACCUAUCUGGACCAAGGCCUGUCAUAUCAAGUUUGAAAUAAUGAGGUAAUGCUAAAUGUCUUAUGAGUCUUCUCUCAAUUUUCAAACUCAAUUCUAUGAAAAUUUGAAUUAUCCUUACAUAGAGCUCUUAUUUAAGUUGUGGAGUUGAAAAAUAAGAUAGGCUCCAGCAGGGGUCACUAGAGUCACAUUGAGCCCUAAAUCUGAUUAUCUUUUAAGUAUGUGGUAGUUGACUUUACACAUUCCAGUGCCUUUUUUUUUUUUUUUUUGACUGUAUAGAUUCCACUCUAUACCCAUAUCUUGUCUGAAUUGUUCUUAAAAAGUACUUGGAAUACCCACCUCAUCUAGUGUCUUUGUUUUUGCUUCCAUUUGUCUUCUCUGAUUCUUUUACCUUAUUUAUUUAUUUUUCACCUUGCUAUUGGAGAUUAUUUACCUCCAUUGACUCUAGGAUACUUCAAGAGAAUUUAUUUUUAAGAAUUAGCAAUGUUCAAUUUUUUAAAUUCUGAGAACUAUGAUGAGUGUAUUUCUUUAUAUAUAUGAGAGUACCGUAAAAAGAAAGCACUUAAAAUUCAAUCCUCCCCUGGGUUUUCUUCUUCUUUUCUUUGAGCAACUAAAAAAAGGUAUCCGUCUCCUAUGGAACUCAGAGAAUUCUAUGCUAUCCCUGAGAAUUCUAUAAUUCUAUGUUAAUUAUUUAUACUCCCCCAUAGUUAAUUUGCUAUGUAUAUGAAGCCAGAAAUAGAAUUGUUCAUAUAUUCAAGAGCAGGAUAAAUAUUUCAGUGCCAGUUCUAAUUUCAAUAUCAUAUAUUUUUUCUUUAAAAAUAUAGUGGCUACGUAUAAAACACAGAUGAUGCUGCAAGCUGGCUAUCCAACAAAUCACCCCAAAAUCACAAGACUCCCCAGAGUUCUAAGUUUUAAGAGUAAAUCUUAAGUUCUAAGACUUAGAAUCUUGGUUUAGAUAUAAGGUGUUUCCUAAAAGCUUGUGUUGAAUCAAUGCAAAAGGGUUUAGAGGUGAAAUGAUUGAAUCCAAUUAUUGAUUGAACUCAAUGAUUGAGCCUGAACCUAAUCAGUGUGUUAAUCCUGAUAGAGAUUAACUGGGUGGUAACUAUGUGCAGGUAAGGUGUGGCUAGAGGAAAUGGGUCCCUGGGAGCCGGCCUUUGGUGUAUAUAUUUUGUCCUUGUUGAGCAGAGCUCAUUCUCUCUACCUUUCCCUCUCA